AGAAAAAGAGAAAAAAGAUAGCUAUUUCUAUAUAGAGCAGAAAAAGUAUGUGCGAGCAGCAUUUAAUUUCCCUUUCUGCAAUUAUGUCAUAAUAUAUAAGAGUUAAAUAAAGUAAACGAUAUGGAAACUUGUUCGUGGAUAAUAAUAAAAUCAAGUAGAAAAAUUCAAACUAUUGUAUAAAUAGAAUAAUGUAAUAAUUUACCAAUAAAAAUCAUAAAAAUAUAAAUGUAUUGUUUCUAUUAUUAAAAAUGAUUAAAUAUCUUCGUGCCGCUCUAGCCACUUCGCUUUCUAUCGGAUAAUUAAUCGUGUAGUUAAUUUUAUAUGUAUUUAUAUGUGUGUAUGUGUGUGACUAAUUUUAAAAUUAUUUUUAUUCCAAAUUUUCUUAUCUAGUGCAACAAGAUAUAUGGAAAAAAUAAUAUGGAGAUGUAUAUAAUAAUAUGCGGAACGGAACCCUUCUUAAAAUAACAAAAGCGAGGGGAAUGAUGAUCUAUGAUAUAAAAAUAACAAAUGAUAUAAUCAGAAGAUUAUUAAGCUAGCAUGAGCAUUCUCUCUCACAACGAGCGAAGACUUGGAGCGUUAAAAGCAGCAUGAUAGAAAGAAAUACAGAGAGGGUGACAGCUACGGACCCUAGAUAUUAAUACGUGUACGGUGUCGGUUCACUUUGUCGAGCAACGACGUGUAAGAUCGACUCUGCUGGAGAGAUACGCUCUUCGUGCCAUACCGCUGAUACUUUGUCCUCGUUGCAAGGUGAAAUGCUAACUAAAGGGGAUGUUUUAAUGGCAAAGAUAAUAAUAUGCCCGGUCGCGAUAGCUAUUCCUAGACCAACAGAAAUAUUCGCAUGACAGCAAUACACACCAUUCCCCGUUGAUUCCUACAGUUGAUUCAAAGAAGAAGGCAUUACAAUCAAAAUUUUGCUAAUUAUAUUCAGAAUAUUGGAACCAAAAAAAAUACACUUACGGGGCAUAAACAUAUAUACACAUAACAUUAUUCCAUUAGAAAUAUCUGUUUUAAUUGGUGUAUUAAAUAUCAUCUAUCUUUUUAAAUUUUUAAUAGUAUUACAUUUAAAUUAUCCUGAUAAAAUAAUAUAUAAUACAAGAAAUUUUAUUGUAAAACUUUUUUCAUUUAGAUAUAUUGUGAUAUUUUUAAAUACUAUACGUGUCACAUUAUAAAUGUUAAAAAUUAAUUUAAUGAUCAAGUAGAAAUUAAAGUUCGUUGUAUAACAAUAACAAAUAAAAUUAUUUUUUUAAUUUGCACUUUGAAAUGUUCUAUUUCCACGACUAAAUUUAUAGCAGUGAUACGCUGUAAUGUAAUUGAACAAUUGAUAAUGAUCAAUCCAUCGAAUAAAAUCUGUUUCUUUUUUCUAUGUUCAAUAGAUGAAUCUAUCGAACAUAGAGAAAAGAUUAUUUUGUUUGUUCGCAUUUAAUUUGUGUAAUAAAAUAACACAUCCAUCUCAAAGAGCAUGAUAUCAACAUUGACGUAGCGUAUAUAUCGUCUAUACACGUACAGAAUCGAUAUUUGAGUAAUUCCUCAGCGAUACUUAAAUAUAAACGAACGUUCGUUGCUUUUGUUAUCACAAAAUUCAGCAAACUAUCAUACAUCCCAUAAAUAUGGCACUGAAAAAGGCUGUUAGAUCGAUUGCGUCCCUAAAUAUAAAAACUGCAUGUAUAUACCGCGUAUAUAAAAAGUCUGCGCAAACGAAGUAACUUGGAGCUAUUGCACGCAACAUAUAGCUCAUAUACUCUUUCACACGAUAUAUAUACCUAUUUUUUUAGGAAAAAAACCUACACACACGCGUGCGCGCGUUUAGAAUUAUAAGAAUAUGUUUAGAUAUUUUUUUAAAUAAAUUUUAGUUGUAAUGACAACUCAUUGUUAAACAAGAGACAAACGCGAAAUUACGUAUACGUUGAAAAAAUUUACAAAUUUUAAAUUGAUGUCAAAAGAUAACGUUUCUAUACAUACUAUGAUGACGUCAGAACGUAUACUGUUCAAAUAUAUGUAUCACAUUACCUUAAUUAUUUGAUCCAUGAUGCAUUUUUGGUUCAUCAAAUUUCAAAGGAUUUCUUUUCACUGUGCUUUAAUCGGCCCUCGCAGUUAAUUAUGAUAAAGGACUCAACAUGUCGAACGCUUAUUUUUUGUAAGAGAUAAUAAAAACAUCUUACGAAAAUGGAAAAUUUGUAUUACUAUCAAAAACCGAACUCCGAAAUAAAAAUUGUGUCAAUUUAUUCAGAAUGGCAAAUGUACAUUUCACAAA
Molecule: long non-coding RNA, 2251 nt
Filed under: Monomorium pharaonis (pharaoh ant)
Lineage: Eukaryota; Metazoa; Arthropoda; Insecta; Hymenoptera; Formicidae
Description: uncharacterized LOC118646571
Source: RNAcentral